RNAcentral lists this transfer RNA (64 nucleotides) under Stenus clavicornis. RNAcentral's name for it is "tRNA-Val". Lineage: Eukaryota; Metazoa; Arthropoda; Insecta; Coleoptera; Staphylinidae. The record is from RNAcentral.
CAAAUUAGAGCUUGAAUAAGUUUUUUAUUUACAUUAAAAAGAUAAUUUUUAAAAUUUAAUUUGA